UGGGAAUUUUGGACAAUGGGCGAAAGCCUGAUCCAGCAAUGCCGCGUGUGUGAAGAAGGCCUUCGGGUUGUAAAGCACUUUUGUCCGGAAAGAAAUCCUUGGCUCUAAUACAGUCGGGGGAUGACGGUACCGGAAGAAUAAGCACCGGCUAACUACGUGCCAGCAGCCGCGGUAAUACGUAGGGUGCAAGCGUUAAUCGGAAUUACUGGGCGUAAAGCGUGCGCAGGCGGUUUGCUAAGACCGAUGUGAAAUCCCCGGGCUCAACCUGGGGAAACUGCAUUGGUGACUGGGCAGGCUAGAGUAUGGCAGAGGGGGGUAGAAUUCCACGUGUAGCAGUGAAAUGCGUAGAGAUGUGGAGGAAUACCGAUGGCGAAGGCAGCCCCCUGGGCCAAUACUGACGCUCAUGCACGAAAGCGUGGGGAGCAAAACAGGAUUAGAUACCCUGGUAGUCCACGCCCUAAACGAUGUCAACUAGUUGUUGGGGAUUCAUUUCCUUAGUAACGUAGCUAACGCGUGAAGUUGACCGCCUGGGGAGUACGGUCGCAGAUUAAAACUCAAAUGAAUUGACGGGGUCAUAGCUGUUUCCU
This 587-nucleotide ribosomal RNA is filed under the name uncultured bacterium. Its description in RNAcentral is "partial 16S ribosomal RNA". It matches the Rfam family "Bacterial small subunit ribosomal RNA", at positions 356 to 1375 of the family's 1533-position model. The record is from RNAcentral.